AGAGUUUGAUCAUGGCUCAGAUUGAACGCUGGCGGCAUGCCUUACACAUGCAAGUCGAACGGCAGCGCGGACUUCGGUCUGGCGGCGAGUGGCGAACGGGUGAGUAAUACAUCGGAACGUACCCUGUUGUGGGGGAUAACUAGUCGAAAGAUUAGCUAAUACCGCAUACGACCUGAGGGUGAAAGUGGGGACCGCAAGGCCUCACGCAGCAGGAGCGGCCGAUGUCUGAUUAGCUAGUUGGUGGGGUAAAGGCCCACCAAGGCGACGAUCAGUAGCUGGUCUGAGAGGACGAUCAGCCACACUGGGACUGAGACACGGCCCAGACUCCUACGGGAGGCAGCAGUGGGGAAUUUUGGACAAUGGGGGCAACCCUGAUCCAGCAAUGCCGCGUGUGUGAAGAAGGCCUUCGGGUUGUAAAGCACUUUUGUCCGGAAAGAAAUCGCGCUGGUUAAUACCUGGCGUGGAUGACGGUACCGGAAGAAUAAGCACCGGCUAACUACGUG
This 503-nucleotide ribosomal RNA is filed under the name uncultured bacterium. RNAcentral describes it as "bacterial SSU rRNA". It matches the Rfam family "Bacterial small subunit ribosomal RNA", at positions 8 to 507 of the family's 1533-position model. The record is from RNAcentral.